CGUAGGUCCCGAGCGUUGUCCGGAUUUAUUGGGCGUAAAGCGAGCGCAGGCGGUUUGAUAAGUCUGAAGUAAAAGGCUGUGGCUUAACCAUAGUAUGCUUUGGAAACUGUCAAAACUUGAGUGCAGAAGGGGAGAGUGGAAUUCCAUGUGUAGCGGUGAAAUGCGUAGAUAUAUGGAGGAACACCGGUGGCGAAAAGCGGCUCUCUGGUCUGUAACUGACGCUGAGGCUCGAAAGCGUGGGGGAGCAAACAGGAUU
Molecule: ribosomal RNA, 256 nt
Filed under: uncultured bacterium
Lineage: Bacteria
Description: partial 16S ribosomal RNA
Rfam family: Bacterial small subunit ribosomal RNA
Source: RNAcentral